UUAAUUUCAUCCAAGAUUUGGAGGCUUGAUGACCAGCCCCACGAGUGGAGAUUUGAUGAUCUUCCACCACCCUAUUGCUCUGAUGAAUGAUAGAUGAAGAAUGGAGCCUGCAAUCAAGAGUCAUUUUCUUUAAUGAGAUGAUCCACCGCACACUCAAGUAAUGUACCUCAAAGUUUUAUGGAAGUUGGUAGAGAAAGUUCUUAUACCAAAGCCUAAGGGUCAGCUAUCUAUGGAGAAUAAAUCUACAACACCACCAGGAAUGAAGUGGUCCUUUUCCCCUGGCACAAAUCUCCCAAUGGGCAAUAUUUUCAAGAUUGAAUGGGACUCCAAGCAAAAGCUCAAUGAAUUUGUCAAAGAACUCAGGACAUUUAGAAGUGUUGACUU
Long non-coding RNA from Phalaenopsis equestris, 384 nucleotides. RefSeq lists it as uncharacterized. The transcript has 3 exons. The record is from RefSeq and is a predicted model, not a curated record. Lineage: Eukaryota; Viridiplantae; Streptophyta; Magnoliopsida; Asparagales; Orchidaceae.